GCCGAAGUUAGGCAAAACAUUUCAACGGUCUCUUAUGGAGGAAAGCUAGAAUUUUAAGAAAAUUUAUGAUUUCCCCGGUAACGAAAGUUUUGGAACUCUAUGAAAAGCUGACGAGUUACGUAGAGAACAUUGUAGUAGCACAUAACAUCCAUCUUAGUGAAAUUAUCCCGUAUUUUUCAUCGUUUUUCACCUAGUGCCAAGUGUUGUUUCCAAGUAUUUUGACUAUGACUCCUGUUUUCCCAGCCUUUCCCAAUGGCAAUCAUCUUGCGAAUCAUUUGUAUGAUCAUAGUAAUCUUCUUUGCUUUCAAAGUAAUACUUUAGCUGCAGUGAAGAAGUAUUCUGUCUUCUUUGUUUUGGCCUGAGAUCUGGCUGAAGUAAGGUUAGGUUGUCCACCGGUGGAGCUGUGAUCGGAGAAAUGACCGAUCACUCCGAUCACUGAUCGGUGGUACCAAAUCCACCGGUCGUACUUCCACCGGUCGUGACGUCAGCACCGACGGAUCAAUUAACGAACACAGUUUGGUGAUCGGCGGUACCACCGAUCAAAAAAAGAAAACCCCUAUUGUCUUGACUCUCAGUAUAAAGGGACUCCAGGUUAGCUCUUAAUUUGAAGAGAAGUGUGUCCUUCUCCUCAGUCUCUCCUCUCCAAUAAAGUGCCCACUUUGCAGAUACUCAAAUAACCACUCUAAGGAACUUGAAGGGCAUGUCAACAGACAGCAUUUUGAUGUCACCAGCCUUGAAAUGUCUAUUGAAAGAGGAUCAAGCGAUUUUAACUGCCCACUAUGCUCUCAAAGUUACUCUAGUGCCUCUGACCUAGAGCUCCAUGUAAAUGUUGAACAUGAAGAUAUUCUUAGUCCUGCGAAGCCCAAUCGAAUCGAUUUGUCAACUGGACCACGCUCAGAAAGGAACCUUCAAUGCCCUGUCUGUCCUCAAGAUGUGUCAUUUAGUGAUGCUGAAACAUUGCAAAUACACAUUGAUACACAUUUUAGUAGCAAAGAUGUUUCUCCAUGGUCACCUAACAUCAACAUGGAUCGUUUACUAGCUCAAGAACUGGAGAAAGCAGAUAAAGAAACACAACGGUUGCAGGAAGAGCAAGAGUUUGAGCUGUUAAAGGUUCAAUACGGGAUGGAUGAUGAAUGUAACUUCAAAGAGCAGUCGAUUAAAAACAUGAAGAAGGAAGUUGAAGCGGGAACACUGUCUUUGGCUGAUUUUGCAAAUCGUCAGCAUGGACUGAGGCUUGCUGAGAGCAAUGGACUUGACGAUGGAUCAUCUUGCACACAAAAUCUAGCUCUUGUGGUUGCAGCUGCUAGCCGUAACUGUUCCAAUGUUGCUGGUGCAUUUAUGUGUUCCUAUGUUGAUCAUUAUGCUUCGACCUACGGUGAUAGGGGUUGGGGCUGCGGUUAUCGAAAUACUCAAAUGAUUUUAUCGUCUCUUCUUCAACACACUGGUUACAACGAUAGAAUCAAUCAAUUGUGGCAUGUUGCCAGAAACCUUGCUUGUAAAGAGCAUUCUGUACCGCGAUCUGGAAUGCCUUCCGUAUCUCAUUUGCAGAAACAUGUAGAAUGGGCUUGGAGAGAAGGUUUUGAUUUGCAAGGUGCAGAACAAUUAGGAGCCCGUGUAUUCAACACACGGAAGUGGAUUGGAGCCACUGAAGUCACUACCAUUCUGUCAUCGCUCAAAAUAAGGUGCCAGUUGGUUGAUUUUCAUAGACCAACAAGUCCAAAUGGGUGCCAUCCGGAAUUGUUUAAUUGGGUUUUGCAAUAUUUCCAGUCCAAAGAUGAUUUUAAGCCUCCUCUGUAUCUUCAGCACCAAGGUCACAGUCGGACUAUCAUUGGAGUUGAACAACUGAAAGACGAAUUUGUUAAUUUGUUAGUCUUAGACCCCAGUCACCCAAAGUCGCAAAUGGAAAAGCUAAAAUCUACCAGUCCUGCGAUUUCUUCCCUCAGACUACUAAGAAAAACUCUGUAUGACAUGAAAGCCAAGCAGUAUCAAAUAGUCGUUGUGUGCGGUUUGGUCAAUAGUGAAGCAGAAUAUCAGAGAAGCAAGGUUCUUCGCUCAAUUCAAGUUCCUCAAAAAUGAUAAGCUCUACAUUGCUGUGAAACUUUCUAUGCCUUCGCUAAAACAUACAUAGUUGUUAGAAAUCUCAAUUUUACUCCAGUUUUUAUUACUGGGAACCACCUGUUAUCCUAUCACUAAAUACCUUAAAUAUUUUCAUUUACUCUUGUUUAUCGAAGAAAAACGAAAUGUGACGAAUACAGCAGAAUAGCACGCACUAAUCAGCAAAUUACCAACGACUGGUUCAACAUGUGAUAAUCUGGCUGUGCACCUACACUCAGGAGAGUUCCUGCAAAGAUAAUCCCAAGCCCCAACCUCUCAUCAACCGUUGAUGGUGAGAUAAUCAACAAGGUCGGAUACUUUCCGGACAGACCUCAUAAUCAGACCAAAUGCAAUUGUGACCUGUAAACCUAAAAUCGCUUGUAGUUGUCGUUGACAAUUAUAAUUUUUUUUACUCUUGUUA
Bemisia tabaci is the source of this 2515-nucleotide non-coding RNA. NCBI's taxonomy places the organism in Eukaryota, Metazoa, Arthropoda, Insecta, Hemiptera, Aleyrodidae. The record is from RefSeq and is a predicted model, not a curated record.